Oncorhynchus tshawytscha (Chinook salmon) is the source of this 500-nucleotide long non-coding RNA. NCBI's taxonomy places the organism in Eukaryota, Metazoa, Chordata, Actinopteri, Salmoniformes, Salmonidae. The record is from Ensembl.
GAGAGGGAGAGGUAAUACGGAGAGGGAGAGGUAAUACGGAGAGGUAAUACGGAGAGGUAAGAGGUAAUAUGGAGAGGGAGAGGUAAUACGGAGAGGUAAGAGGUAAUAUGGAGAGGGAGAGGUAAUACGGAGAGAUAAGAGGUAAUAUGGAGAGGGAGAGGUAAUACGGAGAGGUAAUACGGAGAGGGAGAGGUAAUACGGAGUGGGAGAGGUAAAACGGAGAGGUAAGAGGGAGAGGUAAUACGGAGAGAGGGGUAAUACGGAGAGGUAAUACGGAGAGGUGAGAGGUAAUACGGAGAGGGAGGUCCUUCUCUGCUGCCAAUGACUGGAACGAACUACAAAAAUCUCUGAAACUGGAAACACUUAUCUCCCUCACUAGCUUUAAGCACCAGCUGUCAGAGUAGCUCACAGAUUACUGCACCUGUACAUAGCCCAUCUAUAAUUUAGCCCAAACAACUACCUCUUCCCCUACUGUAUUUAUUUAUUUAGCUCCUUUGCAC